Molecule: ribosomal RNA, 774 nt
Filed under: uncultured Neocallimastigales
Lineage: Eukaryota; Fungi; Neocallimastigomycota; Neocallimastigomycetes; Neocallimastigales
Description: partial large subunit ribosomal RNA
Rfam family: Eukaryotic large subunit ribosomal RNA
Source: RNAcentral
GUACACGCUGUGACUAGCAUAUCAAUAAGCGGAGGAAAAGAAACUAACAAGGAUUCCCCUAGUAACGGCGAGUGAAGCGGGAAGAGCUCAAAUUUGAAAUCUUAAAGGGUUUCCCUUUACGAAUUGUAGUUUAAAGAAGUGUUUUCUGUUGAGGUUUUGGUAAAAGUUCUUUGGAAUAGGACAUCAUAGAGGGUGAGAAUCCCGUAUUUGACCUUUACUUUCAACUUUGUGAUACACUUUCAAAGAGUCGGAUUGUUUGGGAAUGCAGUCCAAAAUGGGUGGUAAAUUUCAUCUAAAGCUAAAUAUUGGCGAGAGACCGAUAGCGAACAAGUACCGUGAGGGAAAGAUGAAAAGAACUUUGAAAAGAGAGUUAAACAGUACGUGAAAUUGUCAAAAGGGAAGCGUUUGACACCAGUGUUGUUUUUCUGAAAAUCAAUUAAAGAACUGUUUAUGCUAAGCUGUUUAGACUUUAUCAGCUAACUGUUUAGUUUUGAGCUUUUCUUUAAUGCACUUUUCAGUUAACAAGUCAACAUCAAUUUCUUUUGCUGUAAAAAAGCUUGAGGAAGGUGGCUUGAGAUUCGUCUUAAGUGUUUAUAGCCUCUUGCCUAUGCAGUCGGAGAGAUUGAGGUCUGCAGCGUAGAUCCUUCGGGGCUAAAUGCAUUUGUGCUAAGUUAUAGCAUUUUAUAGACAACUUGUUGACUAUGAUUUGUCUUGUUGCUUACUCGCUUAUGUUAUUUUACCUACGCUUAGGAUGUUGAGUCGUAGAGCACGCAG